RNAcentral lists this ribosomal RNA (945 nucleotides) under Triticum aestivum (bread wheat). RNAcentral's name for it is "partial small subunit ribosomal RNA". The record is from RNAcentral. Lineage: Eukaryota; Viridiplantae; Streptophyta; Magnoliopsida; Poales; Poaceae.
AUGCUUAAAGACAUAGGUAAGUUUCCUGAGGUUGAUGUGAUAGUCAAAAGUGCCAAGCAAAUCUGUAGGUUUUUUUAUAAUCACAACAACCUACAUGAUAGCAUGAGGAAGAACGUUGGUGGUGAGCUGAUUAAACCGAAUGCCACCCGGUUUGGAACUGUGUUUAUGUUCCUUGAGAGUUAUUUGGAGAAGAAAGAUAAAUUUAGGAAAUGGAUGGUGUCCGACGACUGGAAGAACAGUAUUUGGAAGAAUGAUGCGGACCAUGUGUUUGCUGAAGAUUUGCUAUCCAGUAACAUGUGGUGGACAGCCUUAGAAUGGGUUCUUGAUUUGCUUGAGCCACUCUAUGUAGCCCUCAGAUAUGCUGAUACACAAAAGAAAUGUACUCUAUCUGGUUUCAAGAAGACUAUGAUGACAGCCAUACAAAAGAUGAGUUCUCAUCUUGGUGGUGGGUCACAGAUGUUAGAUAGAGUCAUGAGCAAGGUGUCCCCGAGGAUGGAAGAUAUGCAAAAUGAGACACUAAUGGUUGCAGCUGCUGUCCUUGAUCCGUUCACACAUUAUCGGGUGAAUUUGAGCAACCUUCCAGAAUAUGCUUCUGCACUAACGGAUGCCAUCGAGAAGAUAGCAGACCCUGAGAGCGCUCUUUUGGCUAUCAAUGAAAUCAGCACUUAUAGGGAAUGUCGUGGGAGGUUUAGGCAUAGUUUGGCACGCUCUUCCGCAGAAAGAAUGGCACCAACUGAGUGGUGGUUCCAGUUUGGAGGGGAAGUUCCUAAUUUGCAGAAGUGGGCAUUGAGAAUUGUUUCACAGUGUGUCUCUUCAAGUGGCUGUGAGAGGAAUUGGACUGCUUUUGCCUUGGUCCACACGAAGCAAAGAAAUCGCCUUCUAUACUGCAAGCUUCACAAAAGUGUUUCUGUACGCUACAACCUGAAGAAGAUGAAGAUAUUGUGA